Molecule: ribosomal RNA, 254 nt
Filed under: uncultured bacterium
Lineage: Bacteria
Description: partial 16S ribosomal RNA
Rfam family: Bacterial small subunit ribosomal RNA
Source: RNAcentral
UACGAAGGGGGCUAGCGUUGCUCGGAAUCACUGGGCGUAAAGGGUGCGUAGGCGGGUCUUUUAAGUCAGGGGUGAAAUCCUGGAGCUCAACUCCAGAACUGCCUUUGAUACUGAGGAUCUUGAGUUCGGGAGAGGUGAGUGGAACUGCGAGUGUAGAGGUGAAAUUCGUAGAUAUUCGCAAGAACACCCGUGGCGAAGGCGGCUCUCUGGGACGGUACUGACGCUGAGACGCGAAAGCGUGGGGAGCAAACAGG